This 215-nucleotide ribosomal RNA is filed under the name uncultured bacterium. Its description in RNAcentral is "partial 16S ribosomal RNA". It matches the Rfam family "Bacterial small subunit ribosomal RNA", at positions 524 to 738 of the family's 1533-position model. The record is from RNAcentral.
UACGGAGGGGCUAGCGUUGUUCGGAAUUACUGGGCGUAAAGCGCACGUAGGCGGCUUUGUAAGUUAGAGGUGAAAGCCCAGGGCUUAACCCUGGAAUUGCCUUUAAGACUGCAUCGCUAGAAUCGUGGAGAGGUGAGUGGAAUUCCGAAGUGUAGAGGUGAAAUUCGUAGAUAUUCGGAAGAACACCAGUGGCGAAGGCGACUCACUGGACACGU